UGGAUCCAGACUCCGAUUCUGGCUCAGGAUAAACGCUGGCGGCGCACAUAAGACAUGCAAGUCGAACGAAAGUCGUUGUAAAGAUUUUGACAUGGACAGAGAACUUGUUCGAAGAAAAUGAAGAAUGACUUACAACAAUGGCUUUAGUGGCGGACUGGUGAGUAACACGUAAGCAACCUGCCUAUUAGAGGGGAACAACAGUUAGGAAUGACUGCUAAUACCGCAUAUGCCUUAACUAUCGCAUGAUAGAAGAGGGAAAGGAGCAAUCCGCUAAUAGAUGGGCUUGCGUCUGAUUAGAUAGUUGGUGGGGUAAUGGCCUACCAAGUCAACGAUCAGUAGCCGGGCUGAGAGGCUCUACGGCCACAUUGGGACUGAGAUACGGCCCAGACUCCUACGGGAGGCAGCAGUCGGGAAUAUUGCGCAAUGGAGGAAACUCUGACGCAGUGACGCCGCGUGCAGGAAGAAGGUUUUCGGAUUGUAAACUGCUUUAGACAGGGAAGAAAAAGGACAGUACCUGUAGAAUAAGCUCCGGCUAACUACGUGCCAGCAGCCGCGGUAAUACGUAGGGAGCAAGCGUUAUCCGGAUUUAUUGGGUGUAAAGGGUGCGUAGACGGAGAAGCAAGUUGGUUGUGAAAUCCCUCGGCUCAACUGAGGAACUGCAACCAAAACUACUUCCCUUGAGUGCUGGAGAGGAAAGUGGAAUUCCUAGUGUAGCGGUGAAAUGCGUAGAUAUUAGGAGGAACACCAGUGGCGAAGGCGACUUUCUGGACAGUAACUGACGUUGAGGCACGAAAGCGUGGGGAGCAAACAGGAUUAGAUACCCUGGUAGUCCACGCUGUAAACGAUGGAUACUAGGUGUAGGGGAUGAUAAAUCCUCUGUGCCGUCGCAAACGCAGUAAGUAUCCCACCUGGGGAGUACGGUCGCAAGGUUGCAACUCAAAGGAAUUGACGA
This 952-nucleotide ribosomal RNA is filed under the name uncultured Bacillota bacterium. Its description in RNAcentral is "bacterial SSU rRNA". It matches the Rfam family "Bacterial small subunit ribosomal RNA", at positions 1 to 916 of the family's 1533-position model. Lineage: Bacteria; Bacillati; Bacillota. The record is from RNAcentral.